UACGUAGGGGGCAAGCGUUGUCCGGAUUUAUUGGGCGUAAAGAGCGUGUAGGCGGCUUUACAGGUCCGUUGUGAAAACUCGAGGCUCAACCUCGAGACGCCGGUGGAAACCGUAAAGCUAGAGUCCGGAAGAGGAGAGUGGAAUUCCAGGUGUAGCGGUGAAAUGCGUAGAGAUCUGGAGGAACACCGAUGGCGAAGGCAGCUCGCUGGGACGGUACUGACGCUGAGACGCGAAAGCGUGGGGAGCGAACAGG
This 253-nucleotide ribosomal RNA is filed under the name uncultured bacterium. RNAcentral's name for it is "partial 16S ribosomal RNA". It matches the Rfam family "Bacterial small subunit ribosomal RNA", at positions 524 to 776 of the family's 1533-position model. The record is from RNAcentral.